GUAGUACUCUCUGCGCAUGUGCAAAGCGCUGUCGGGGGCCGCCCUAGCUGCCGUCGCCGCCGCCGGGGCUCUAUGGUCUCUCCCUAGAGCUUUGCCGUUGGAGGCGGCUGCUGCGGUCUUGUGAGUUUGACCAGCGUCGAGCGGCAGCAACAUGGAGGAAUUCGACUCCGAAGACUUCUCUACGUCGGAGGAGGACGAGGACUACGUGCCGUCGGGUGGAGAGUAUAGUGAAGAUGAUGUAAAUGAAUUAGUGAAGGAAGAUGAAGUGGAUGGUGAAGAGCAGACACAGAAAACCCAAGGGAAAAAAAGAAAGGCCCAGAGCAUUCCAGCCAGGAAGAGAAGACAAGGUGGCCUCUCAUUAGAAGAAGAGGAAGAGGAGGAUGCCAAUUCAGAAUCUGAGGGAAGCAGUAGUGAGGAGGAAGAUGACGCUGCAGAGCAGGAAAAAGGCAUUGGAUCAGAGGAUGCCAGGAAAAAGAAGGAGGACGAACUCUGGGCCAGCUUCCUCAAUGAUGUGGGACCAAAAUCAAAAGUGCCCCCAAGUACACAAGUUAAGAAAGGAGAGGAGACUGAAGAGACAAGUUCAAGUAAAUUGUUGGUAAAAGCAGAAGAGCUAGAGAAACCUAAAGAAACAGAAAAAGUUAAAAUCACCAAGGUGUUUGAUUUUGCUGGUGAAGAAGUAAGGGUAACUAAGGAAGUGGAUGCUACAUCUAAAGAGGCCAAAUCCUUCUUCAAGCAGAAUGAGAAAGAAAAACCACAGGCUAAUGUUCCUUCAGCUCUGCCAUCACUCCCUGCCGGGUCAGGAUGUGUCAUUUAAAAAACUGUUAUGACCUGCUGAAUUGAUUUCACAAUCAACUGCAACCUGAAUUUGACAAAAUACUGCUCUAGACAACGUAUGGAAUUAGCCUUCAGCAGGUGAUUAAGAGUUGCCAGAAAGCCGCUUCUGCCCCAUACCUGUUUUAGCUAGUCAUCAAUUUGGUUUGGUAUCCAAGCCCUGCCUCUGGAAUCCUGUCCUGCCUACUACUUCAUAGCCACUAUCCAAGAUAAGUAUUCUCAGUUCACAUGCCACUGGGUCAUCAGAAGACAAGUAUCUGGAUUUCAGAGCCAACAGUUUGCUUUUAUUUAAGCUGCAAGACCCUCCAUUGCCAUAAGAUCUGCCACUGCCAUAAUAACAAAACCUCAGCUGGAACUUCUGCUGCAGCCAUUGAGGUCUGUACAUAGGCCUCCUGCUCUCGCUUCUGGUUCCAUGUAAUAUCAUUGUUUAUAAAAAGAAUUAGUGUCUGUUCUGUAUAAAACAACACUGUGGGGCAGAAGCUUUGCAGUCAUUAGUAAGAGGGGCCACCGUGAACUACAGUUGCAUUGAAAAGCAAUUCUUUUCCCUCUUAGGAAAUAGAACUUUAACUUAGGCUUGCUUUUAUAACACCUGAAGGAAUGGAAGAGGAAAGAGUAGUGUUCUCGAGGGUACCUUAACUUACAGCUUGUGUUGUAGGUCGAGAUUGGCUGCAUUAUUAUGUUACAUGGUUUCUUGAGCCAUGGUGAGCAUAUUUUCCAAACCAAAAAUCAGCAUAGCUAUUCGGACAGUAUUUUUUAAGUCAAAUGUAAUUACACAUUUAGAAGUAAAAUUAAAAGUUGAGACUGUCCAGGAAAACCCAGAACAUAGGGAUGCCUUGCCUGGAAGACGGGAGGUUGACUCCUCAAAGGAGAAGUAUGCUGAACUUUAAACUUGACCCCCCUUGCCUUUCAGCACAGUGUUGAUAUCAGCCCUCCUAGAGGUGCAGCUGGGCCCCGCCUUUCUACCCAAAGUAGGAUGCUACACCAUAGGCCAUAGGCAAGACCACUGAUCUGUAUGGAGACUUGAUUUUUAGUAUGAAGGAUAUUUUUUGCCUGGCCUUGAAGCCUGUAGGGCAGACAUGGAAAAGGAAAUGACAGUACUGACCCAGGACUGUCCCGUCUGACUUAUUACCCAAUUUGUGUAGAUCAUGCAGUCUAGGAACUAGCAAGCAUUCGAUUGCGGCAAAAGCAUCUCCGAAUGAAUAACUUCAUUGAAUUCUUGGGUUUUUCUGAGUUCCUUCAUUUUGUACAAAUGACUUCCUGUAGGUAUGGGAAUUAUUGGUCAAGACAGGCUCUUUUGCUUGUUUUCCUGAGGCCACGCUUUCAGCUCAUGCCGUAGCAGAAUAGGAGAAGGAAGAGAGCGAAAAAUAAUAGUAAAAUUCUGAAAACAAAUACAAGGAAACCUGGGACCCAAAGAGGAAACAGACGUUGAGAAAUUCAAAAAGAAACCAGACAAGGAGAGAACAUGUUCAUGUGUUCAGAGUUGUUUUCUACAGUGUAUUUAUGGAGGGUGCAAGUGCCUUUUGACAGUUCUAUUGUGUAUUGUAAAAAAACUUUUUUUAAUUCUUUGAGUUUUUUACAUGUUUAUCCCUUCCUAAGUUGAUUUGUGUGUCUUUUUGGUUUUGUUUUUCUUUUUGAGACAUAGUCUUGCUCUGUUGCCCAGGCUGGAGUGCAGUGGCAUGAUCUCAGCUCACAGCAACCUCCGCCUCCCAGGUUCAAGCGAUUCUCAUGCCUCAGCCUCCUGAGUAGCUGGGAUUACAGGCGUGCGGCACCACACUUGGCUAAUUAUUGUAUUUUUAGUGUACGUGGGGAUUCACUAUGUUGUCUAGGAUGGUCUUGAACUCCUGACUUCAAGUGAUCCACCUGCCUCGGCCUCCCAGAGUGCUGGGAUUACAGGUGUGAGCCACCGCGCCCGGCUUUAAAUUUAAACAAUAUCUGACUUGCCUGGGUGUGGUUACUCAUGCCUGUAAUCACAGCACUUUGGGAGACUGUGGCGGGUGGAUCACUUGAGGCCAGAAGAUCGAGAGCAGCCUGGCCAACAUGGCAAAACCCCAUCGCUACUAAAAAAUACAAAAAUUAGCCGAGUGUGGUGGUGCGUGCCUGUAUUCCCAGCUACUACAGAGGCUGAGGCAGGAGAAUCACUUGAACCCAGGAGGUGGAGGUUGUAGUAAGCCAAGAUCACGCCACUACACUCCAGCCUGGGCCAUAGAGUAAGACCCUGCCUCAGAAAAAAAGAAAAGAAAAUUGGUGAAUGGGUGGAAUGUUUGAAAGAAUAGCCAAAAAUGUAUCUUAACAUUGGAUGAUGUUUCUAGAGAUGGUGUGGAAGAUCAACUGCUGUUUCUUACUAUUUCUUUUUAAAAAAGAAUUCUUAUGUGAAUCUUUUUAACAUCUUACCUGUAAUAUUUUUAUGGUUUGUUUAAUGGUCAGUUGUUAAAUUUGUCUAUUGAAAAUUAACGUUGCUUAAAUAUUACAUAUAAAUUAAGGUAGCUUGUUCUUUUAAGCACAUCAAACAUCUUAAGAGAUAAAAUAUAAAUACAAUUAUUAAUAAGACUUAUUCUGUGUGGUUUGGGGUAAACUAGUGGCAAAUUUCCAGUUAUCUUGAUUUUCAACAAUUUCUACUAGAAGGGAUUUUAUUCAGCCACAGGAAAGUUAUUGUUAUGUAUGCUCUGUUUUUGUCUUUAACUUAUGCUCCCAUUGGGGGUUAAUGCGAUAUAAGAAGAGGGGUAGUAUUCCUUUCCAUGUACAAAAACCUGUUUUGGACCCUCUGGUGCUAAAUUAUUUUUACAAAAUUAGUUUUGUUUCGGUUUCCUUCAGUUAACCAUAGUUAUUUUCUUUUUGAAGCUCAGAUUGUCAUAGAUUGGCUAAUGGCAUUGUCUUUGAGCUGAUUCCUUUGUCCUUUUGACACUAACUCUGGCAGUCUGAAAAGUAUUCUUACUUUCUGGCAGUGCUAGAAAAUACCAGAAUGGUCUUUAUUGUUUUUUUGCCCCAAGACAUGGAGUCAUCUCCCAUCUAGGUUCCUGGUUCCUUUAGUGGAAAGUAAUAUUAGAAACCAAAAUCUGGGCUGGGCGCAGUGGCUCAUGCCUGUAAUCCCAGCACUUUUUGGGAGGCCAGGAUGGGAGGAUUGCUUGAGGCCAGAAGUUCAAGACAGGCUGCCCAACAUAGUGAGACCCCCUUCUCUACCAAAAUUUUAAAAAUGAGCAUGCAUCUGUAGUCCUAGCUAUUGGGAAGGCUGAGGCAGGAGGAUCAUCUGAGCCCAGGAGUUUGAGGCUGCAGUGAGCUAAGAAGGUGCCACUGCACUGCUGUUGUCUCUCAGCAGAUCAUUUUCAGCUUUCUUUGGAGAGUAGCCAUUAGCAAUGCAAAUGUGAAGUUUGAUAGCACAAUAAAUAAAACACUGAAAACUGUAGAUGUUACUUAUAAAACACUGGCACUCAGAUAAAUUGGGUUUGGUCAAGAAGACAGUGAAGCAUAUCCCUGUUGGGCCAGAGGCUGUUAUCGUUUUGCUCUGAAUUCAAAACCUGAUAUGUCUCCAAAUUUGCUUAGGGUUGUUAUCCUGGAAAAUAGAAUCUGAUAGAAGGUGGGCACUGGUACCAAGUGCAAGGUGGAGGUGAUCAUGGUUAGGGCAAUUGCAUACAGGUCAUGACUGCAUUGGAGUCUCAGGAAAGAUUGGUUUAGUGAUUUGGCAAAUCCAAGGCAUGAGUUUUGGGUGGUUUUGUUGUUUUGUCUUAUUUUUCCACCCCUUAAGAGUCUUAGGGGAAAACAGCAUCAUUGAAUAGACUAGCUAAAAAUUCAGCACUUAAUACCCUUCACAGCGUAUUAGCCUCUGCAGAGCUUUGCUAUUUUGGAACCAGUGGUGUGAAUUAUUCUCUGUUAAUAAGAAUCUGGCUUUCUUUUCCUGUUGGAAAAGAGGCUCGUGUGCAUGUUACUCUGACUCAGUAGUUCUCAAACUUUUUGUUCUCAGGACCUCUUUACGCUCUUCAAAAUUAUUGACUGGGUUAUAACUGUUGUUAUUUAUAGUAUAAGAAAUUAAAAUAAACUAGUAUAUUUUUAAAAUUUA
This is an RNA transcript of Homo sapiens (human), 4882 nucleotides long. It is a transcript of the gene named chromatin remodeling protein CFDP1, with no coding region annotated. The transcript has 8 exons. The record is from RefSeq and is marked validated. Lineage: Eukaryota; Metazoa; Chordata; Mammalia; Primates; Hominidae.